Cavia porcellus (domestic guinea pig) is the source of this 18608-nucleotide long non-coding RNA. RefSeq lists it as uncharacterized. Lineage: Eukaryota; Metazoa; Chordata; Mammalia; Rodentia; Caviidae. The record is from RefSeq and is a predicted model, not a curated record. The transcript has 2 exons.
CACUGCAGAGACAGAGUUUGUAAGUGGGUGCUUGGCUCUGGAGGUGGGAGGUGCAGGGGUCACAGACGAGGGGCAGCACGCGCCUACUUAAUCCCUGAACGCUCACAGCUCUCGAGAUUUCUAACUUCCCACGAAUGAACCAGGGUAAGGUCCGCAAUCUGGGACUCACUGCUCAUCGGUGCUGCGGAGCGAGGGAGGUAAGAUGACUGGAGGACUCUCUAGAGUUAACGAGAGUCCUGGAGGGUGAAGGGGUUGGGAGAGACCGCAAUGAAAUGCUCAGCACAACCUGGAAAUAACGCUGCCAUAUGAAAGGAAAAUUCUGAAUCGUUUCUAUCCUGGAGAAUGUGAACUUCUUGAAAACGGGGAGACACAGUACUGCAUAAGAAAAUUCCUUGGCAAACUAAAGGUAUAAUCAAGAAGAUUAAACCACUAGAGGUAUUAGGACUGUGGAAGUAGAAUUAAUUUCUCUAGCCUGUUCCUUGUUUUUUAUUUUUUAUUUUUUGGUCCUGUUUUUGGAGACACGAGGAUUCUUUGAUUGUUUGUUUUUUUAAGCCACUAAAGUAUUUAGAUUUAUUUACAGCCUCAGAUAAAAAUACAAAGAAUAAAAACCAAUAAGAAAAACUGUUUCCUUGGGGCUUUCUGGGUUCAGCUCUUGAAAAAUACUGUUAGUCAUGCCGAAAUAUUUUGUUGACCAACUUGUAAAGCACCAUUGAAAUCUUUAAUUAACUUACCUCUAAAUUAAUUUUUUAUUGGUUUCCUUGUUGCUGGGUUUCAUAAUCUCAUGGGCAGGCCUAGAAUUACUGUCUUUAUUAAGGUUUUGACAGUAAGAGACCAAAAGCAACCUUUGAUUAGAGAAAAGAACAUGUUAUAACACUUAACUAUAAAGAAAUAUUGCCCAAUUUUUGUGAUAACUGAACUUUGUUAAUUUGUCCAGUGUUAAGAAGGCAAGUUUAGCAUACAUUUAAAGCUGUAUUCCUAAAAGGAAAUCUUCUUAAAGAACAGAAUGAAGCUCUUUCAAAUGAGAAAGACAUUCUUGUCCUAUCCGCAGCAGUACUGGGCUCCCCUGGGGAUCAUGGAAAUUCCCUAUCAAAAAGCACCCCCAAAUGGAUUUUGCUGGGUUGGAAGCUUUUCUUUACCUCCAGUUUUGAGGAUACAGGUGAUACUUUUUAGAAAGUGGCUUAAAAAAUUAUAUUGCUUCAGAUGAAUCUAAGCUGGGGUGGGGGGUGCUCACAGUUCACAUCAAAGCUUAGUGGAAGAGAAGAAAAUAUUUUGGAUCAACAUCGCCAUAUUGUUUGGCUUUAAUUAUAUUAAUUGGAUUGAAUGAGUCUGUGACCCACAAGAAACCAGACUUCUAAAGAGAUUAUGUCCUAGGUGGAAGGGGAGGGUCUCUGUUCUCCAGUGACUGCUCUGGCUCUAGAGAACGACUAUUUGGUGGCCCUGAGAGUGUCAUGGACAAUAUUUCUCACUGGUUGCACUUGGGGAAAAAAAAGCAAACUGUAACAUGGUAGUUACCUCACAAAUGACAGUAAUGCUUAACACCUACUACCCUCAAACAGAUGAGCUACCACCACCACUUUGGCUAUUUGGUCUCAUAAAUGCAGGAGUACAUUUCUAUAAUAGCAUUGUCCACACAGAAACACAAAGAAAGAAUAACAGUAUUGCAAACACAUUGGAAUUUGGCAUGGAGCUGACAUAUAUCCAAAAUUUCCUAAUAUUUUAGUAACCUGAAGAAAAAAUUUAAAAUUUAAAUGUUUUUACUGUGUAUAUUGUUAUUUAGGUCAUUAAGUAAAUGAAACCUCUGAUUAUGGAGUAAAUUACCUGUAGUUCAAUGAAGGUAAGGUAUAAGAGUUGUCAUAAGUAUCUACAAUUUUAGCAAAUCACUGCUUAUAGCAUUCAAUAAUUUUUCAAAAGACAAAUUAAGACACAGGAAGCUUCAAUUAUGUAAUAUGCUGUUCUAAUUUCUGGCAUUUAUGUCAGAGCCAGCUUUGAGCUACCAUAUUCAGGAGUUGUAACACAAGUUAAAUGCACAACAAGGUGCAAACCCUGCCUUUCUGAAUAGUCCACCUACAGUACUCGGCUCAAAAUGCAUCUGAAUUUUUGUUCCUGCUCUGUGUUCAUGGCGUCUUCCUCAUGGAAGGCAGCGAUUUGCAUAUAGCACCAGGCAACCUUGCUAGGCAUAUCUAGAGAGAUCUGUGCUGAAACCCAGGAAUGAAACAGCACCAGAAGGACUUCUUACUGACCCUGGAGCUGGUGCUUAUGUUUAUUCAUGUGUGUUUAAUUUUUUUCCUUCUGCUGGUUGUGCCUUUUGGGUGUGCCGUUAGCCGCCACUAAUAUGGUCCCCAGCAUCCUUGCACAGUGCAUUUGUGCUGUGCUGAAGGGAGAUGACAUCAGUUCUGAACUACUGAGAACUAGGUUUCGUCUCUGGCUGUGCAGAACUCGCCGACCUACCGAGAAUUUGAUGCUUAUUUCCAUAGCAAAGAGAGGCUCUAUAGGACUUGUGAUAUGUGGGAAAUAAUACACACUUGGAAACUUGGGAAAGAAUUUUACAUACUUUCUUUUGGUGUUACUGCUGGGAUUAUGGUGGUGGCACUAUUUCAAAACAGGAAUUAACUUGAAAAACAGUUAUAUAAACUCAUUUUUAUAAAUAAUAAUAGAAAACAUUUACUAAACACUUGCUAAGCCAGACUCGAUGCAGGAGCUCCUCACCUGAGUAAUUCUUUGUUGUGGGGACCAUUCCCUGAAUGGUUAAGAUGUUUAGCUGUAUCUCUAGUUUGUAUCAACUGGAUGUCACUUACAUCUCCUCUCACCCCAAGCUGUGACAGCCUAUCUGUCUCAGAUACUGCCCAGUGUCCCAUGGGGUAUGCAGUUACUCCCAGGUCAAAGUUUAGCUCUACACUAAGCAUUUCUCUUAAAAUAUUUUCGGUAUCUCCUAAUAUGCCUUUUAGGUAGACAGGCCAUAAAUAAACAAAAUGAAGAACACAGAUAAUCACCUUACUGUAUACAACAACAAAGAGAAACAAUCAAAUGAAAAUUUUUUUAGGAAAUGAAGCACAGUUACUGUGCAUUAAAAUUUGGCUCCCAGUUUUAAAAUGUGGUGCUAAUCUGAUACAAUUGUCUGAACUCCAUCAGCAAGAGAGUGGUAUGAAGGCUGUAUUCAAACAGUGCCCCACUGCUGCUCACGACUCAAAUACAAACUGAAUAAACGGCAAGCAAAAGUCACUAUAGCAGCUCUAGUUCUCAGCACUGCCCACGUGACUACAGUUUCCUUAAGUUCUCCAAGGACACGAGCUACAUGUUUGCCACAUUUCUGCACUGAAUGUUAGAAGAAGACUUCAGCAUCGGACCCACAACCAAGCAGGCUUCAUUGCCAUGAAAGGUCACGACCAACUCACCAGAGUCCAUUUCCAUAUUAGCACUGAAGAGCUUCACAAAAUUAAUUCUUAUUUCAUUGAAUCUAAGACACCACUGCAAGACAUAUCAUUACCUUUGUGUGAGGAAGAAGGGAACCAUCCUCGUUUAAUUAAAUCAUGAAUUUCAUUGUUUGUAAGGCCCCUGCUUGUCACAAAGGCAUUAAACUGUGAGGAAGAUCUGUGUUCCAUGCCUGAUGAAUGAGUUGAUGGAGAGAACGCCUGACUGAUGAACAAUGGAGUGUUAUCCUUAUCCUAAUCUGAUCAUUUAAUUUGUUUUAUUACUCAUCUUCAGUAAUAAUAUAAAAGCAAACCAGGACUAACCUUUCUUAUAGGAACAGGGUAAGCAUAAAAAAUUGUACCCUUGGAAAGCUUUUGUAUUAUGAGAAUACAGAACCUUCAAGUUUAUCAGGCUGAAUCAACAAUCUGAUGGUGAUUUUUUGUCUGAAAACUCCAUGGGCAUCCUUUACCUCUUGAUCAAAAUUACCCAAACAAAUUGAACAUGAACUUUGGAGGGAAUAAAAAAAAAAACUACUUAGGAAGCCUCCCGAGAAUUGGCCAUGCUGGCCUGGGAGGAUCCAACAAGAAGCCAAUCAGCCACCCUUUCUGGUAAGCUGUGCAAACCAUGCAGCUUCCAGGAAGAGAAAAGUCAGUGAGCCUACCAGUGCACUGACUGAGAAUCAACCACCCUCCCCUCCAGCAACCUGCUGGUUAGGAGGACAGGCUGAGUUGAUAGCAACUAAGUGCCAUUUUGGAUAAUAUCUCAAGGCUUGACAGAGCAGGAAGGUGGCACAGGAAAAAAUGUCCAGGGGCAAUCCCGUAUGGCGUCACUCAAGCGUAUGGGUAAAUUCUGACAAUUUAGCUCAAAUAAAAAGCUCAUGAGCCUGAAAUUACCAUGGAAUUUUGACUGAAAGAAGCCUGACUAGCAAACAGUAAGAUAAAUGUUCAACAAAAUGCCUUGUGAUUCACUUUUUGGGAUAAAGUUUCAUUUCUAAAAUGCAACUGUGUUCAACUUUUUUUUUAACCAAACAAUUUAAGAAAACUCUGCAGGUGUUUUCUAGGAGAAAGUUCUUAUUUUCCUAGUCCAUCAGGAAAGAGGUGAAAAAGGCACAUUAGAAACUGAAAGGUAAGCUAGCAGGUAAGUCUGCCAAUUUUGGGGGAAGGCAUUACCUUUCAACUCUGAUCUGCAGGUUCGCUGGACUGUUUUAAAUGUGACCUUGUCUGACCACAUCUAAGAUAUUUGACUUUGAUUUCAGAUUAGGUUUCUCAGAAAGGUUUAGAAAUCAAAGUGCCCAUGGAGUGUGGACAAAAAUUUGAUAUGACAGUUUUUUGUAGAACAGGCAAGAGGCCGGCCCCAAGGAGUGCACGUUCAGCAUCCACUGCUCAUUAGUGAUUACAGAAGGAUUUCCCACUCGGAUGCUAAGCUGCUGGCUUGGGCUUCCAGACACAUUAUUUCCCAAUAUAAUGGUCUUCGCUUUGAGAAGGAAAUGAAUUUAAGAAUGAAGAACAAAAUGGGAAAAUACAAUGCAAAUAGAUUUCAAGUGUCAUUUCCCUCUGUGCAGUAUUUAUUUCCCCCACUAACUUUGUGAUUUUGUUAGCCUAGAUCACCAAAGUACCCUUUUAUGCCUAACAGAGCUAUUUAAGCUCCAUGUGAAAAAAGGAGCCUCAUAUUAAUUCAACCAUGGUUACCAAGCAUGCUCAAAGUUAUACCAUUCAGAAAUGUGCCAGACACAUUUUGCUGGUAAAUGUAAAGCAUUAUAAAAAGUUUAAGAGUAGAUGGUAGAGCAAUCUAAAGUAUGAAUAUUAACACAUUUGACUUUAAUUUUUUAUUUUAUAAAAAGGAAACAUUCCUUUGAGCCCUUGUCUAACAAAUACUAUGGUUUGCAGUACUUAUUCCAGAAAGCUUAACAGUAUAUAUUAUGGACUGAAAGAGCCAAUUUGAGCAUCUUCACCAAAACAAAACUAUUCAUCAUUUAACUUACAGUGUUUUGAUGUACACAAAGACUUUGGGCAUACUUUUCCUAGGUUUUCUGAAUGAAGUUCUUACAAGUAUUCCUAUAAAUUACUGAGUGGCCUAGUGACUUGCACAAAGAUAAUUCUUAUUAUUUGUGACCAAUUUUAGUAUUAAAAAUGUUACUUCAACAAGAAACUAAUAUAAUCAUUAUCACAAUUUGAAAUUGGGAUAAUGUCAUCUGUUUAUCAACAAACACUUAUUAAUACCUACCACGUUCCAGGAAUUAUGCAAAACACUGGUGAUAAAGUGAUAAUAAUAAAACUGACAUAGUCCCUGUCUCACGGAGCUUACAGACCCGUGACGGAAAUCAACAUUAAUCGAGUGGUGACCAAAGUAGUUCUUGAUAUGGUUACUCACUGAGAUGAGUCCUGUAAAGCACAGGGGCCACAGAGGUGGACAGAGGGCUCCCUGAGGCAGACCUCGGGGUCAGACUAGCCGAGGCCGCAGGCCAUGAUGAAGACUUUGGAUUUCAUUUUGCAGAAGUUAGAAAAUCACUGAAGAGUUUGAAUUCAGGGUAAGGCAUGGUCUGAUUUCUGUUUCAAGCCUCUGCUUGACUACUGAGCAGAAACUAAACACGAGUACAGUGUGAGUGGAAAUAAGGAAACUCUCCCAGCAAGUGACCGUAUUUGUGCAGGCAAGAGGCAGAGGUUGUGCAGAUCUGGCUGCAGUUUUUAAGCAGAGAGGCUGGUAAAGACGUAUGCUUUUGAAGUAGAGAUGAUAAAUCUGAUAGGCUAACUGUAGGUUAUGGGGGAAAGGGCAAAAUCAAGGAUGGCUUCCAGGUUUCUGGUUUGGGCAGCUGAAGAGAUGGGAUAACACGAGACAGGAAAUACUGGGAAAACAGCAUUAGAAGUGAAAAAUAUGUUUGUUUGUAGAAAAUGGAUUGGACAUAAAGAAGAUAGUAGUAUAGGUGGCGAUACUUGCUUGGUCAGAGUGAAGGAAUACGGUGUCUAACAGUAAUCAAAUGAACCUGGUUGAACUUAAAACAAGGAAUCCCCAGAGAUAGUCAUUUCAAUACACAAACAGUUCAAACAAGCUGUCCCUUGAUAGGAAGGGGUAAAAGAGAGUUGAUGGAAAGACUGAAUUAGUAAUCGGGUGUGGGUAUGGUUUAAAAGAAGCCCACCAUCUGACAGAGGCAGAAUUAGAAAGGGCUAAACUCAUGCAGGGUCUGGCCGUAUUCCAAGGCUUUGCAUAGUUAUCUCAUUUAACCAUCCCAGUAAAUCAACAAAGCUGAACAGUGGGCCUGGGAAUUAUGAACAGAGACAGGUGGCUUCAAAAUGGCACAACCACAGGCACACCGCUGUCCACCUGCUGCAGCAAAGGUGAUGUUCCUGUUGGGAACAGUAACAGCACAACAGAACAACACAACCUCCCUGCAGUCAUCCACCCGCGGUGGUCACUGCUAUCCCCAACUUCUACUGCUAAUGAAACGGAGACUGAUUAAGUACUUUCUACACAGGAUACCUUAAAAGCCUUGUUAAUGUCUGGGUUGGCAGCAUCCUACCUAGUGAUAGGUGUCUUUUGUUUAUUCAAGGACUUGAAUGGAACUGGCUUAAAGAUUCACCACACAUAUUCUUCUCUUGAAAUUAUUAAGAUUUAAAAAUGAUCAGGGAAUUCUCAAGGUAACGAAUCUGACAGCAAACAGUCUUCUUGUUAUGCUUUCUAAAUUAUCAAUGAAGAAAAGCAGCUGUUAGUUGAAAUGUUCAAACCUCAGAGGUUUAUUAAUGGGUCUAUUAUCUCUUUAUGAAGAAGGUGACAUUUUGAUACUCAAAUAAAUACAGAUUUCUGCUGUUUCAUUCUGGGGGAAAUUUCCAUCUUUUCAUUUCCAGUCUUUUGCCAGGCAAAAGAGGAUUUUUACAUCAUCAUGCAUCAUUAAGAUGUGAUAGUUAAGGGGGAUUUAGUUGAGCAGCAUAAGCACAUGCCUGGCAAGCAUGAAGUCAUGAGUUUGAUCCCCAGUAUCAGGAAAAAAAAAAGAUACAAUAGUUAUGUUUAGUGUGUCUCAUUUAGUGGCUAUAUAUCUGAGAGGUCUUGCUUUUGGGAACAUUUAAUUCCUUAAAUUUGCAGAUGAAAUCACUUUUCUAGUUUGCACAUAGGACUCUUGACUUUUUCCUCUUGGACAGCAACUCAAUUUACUUCAGAGACUGAUUUUUUGCCCCCCAUCUUUGAGCAAAACUCCCAAACAAUGUAAAUCUCUGCUGACUUAGAAGCCCAAGGUCAGCUUCCCAAAUGCCUGGACUUUAAAGUUAUUGUCCCUGCAAGGCCCACUGCAGAGAUGUUGGAACAUAGAGCUGUGUUCAGACACAGUGCUGAAGCUUGCCACGAGGCCUUAAAACUUCUCUCAUUUCAACUCACUCCAGACGUGGGCAGUGUGACCUUAUCCUCUUUCAAGGAUUUGAUAGCUCUUUACCUGGAUGAGGAAAUUUGGAGACUCAACAAAAAUGAGUCUCAGAUUCCUGACAUUCAAGACAUCCCAAUGAAGUUCUGCCGAGCUGCUAAGUUCUCUAGAAGGAACCCAGAAGACCAAAGGGGAAGGACAGAAUUUGGCUAGGAAGCUUCCUGGUGGGACUAAGAUGCUGAUCUUAGAGGAAGCCCUGAAGGUUGGAGGCUGGGAAGACCAGAGCUGCAGCAAAUGCUUAUUGGGCAGGUGAUCUGGCAGGGUAGCCUCUGACUCAAGUGUAGACACAGGAGACUCACAACCUGGAUGGAUGGGCUUCUGUAGGUAUGGCAGGGGCAGGGGUGUUGACCAACUGGUACAUCUUUCCCAACCUAGGAUUUUUCUCUUGACCACACUGAAGGAAUGUUAACCCUUUGGGCUCUGCCCGAUGCCCUUUAGGCAAGCAUCAUUUCUGGCUCCAGGUGAAUGGCUCGUCCAUGGCCAUGAGUGGAUGGCUGCAGGUUGUAUACCCGGGCUCGCCGAUUCGUUCCAUGCUAACUGCUGACAGUUGAGCCAGUGGGACCCUCAGAGACGCCCUCACAGACCUCCUCAAUCUUUCUGUUUUAAUCUAGCAUCACACCUGGAGCUAGCAUGAUGGGCAUGGAGGCAAAAAGGCAGGUGGCGACUGUGCCCUUCUGGCUCUGAGGACCCACAUCCACGAGAACAAGAGCUGACAGCAGCUCCAAGGCACAGUCAACCCUGAGACCAAGGGACAACAGCAGCUGGCUGCAGGAUGCUGGCUCUCACUGUGCUGAACGGCAGCAGAAGGCUUGGUGUCAGACCGAACUAGGCUCCCAUGUGCCAUUUUACCCCAGUGUUGGGGGGGGGGGCGGCACAAGUGACUUGGGGCUCUGUCUGUUCUCUGUAGGAGCAGGGCUAAGAAGCUCUUAUGUUCACACAACAUGAAAAUAAUAACUCAGUUCAACAUCAUCACCACUACUGCUUCUACUCAAUGUGUUUUUUACAGGAAUAUUUCCAAAAAGAUGCGCACUUAGAAGUAUUAACUUACUGUAGUCAAAGAGGAACUUUCUAGCAGAGAUCUCGAUGGUAAAGGUGGGAUCAAGUCUGGCAAAAUCUUACCUUUGUGAAUAAGUAAAGUGCUUUCCUUUCUAAAGGGCACAGAGAAAUCCAGAGCAGACAUUUAAAUGUUAAAGUUGUUUUUCUGCUGUGCUUUCCUCUCCUAUAGUCUAUUACUUAUUUUAUGCUCUUUUUCUUACCAAAGUAAGAGAAAGAAAGAUAUCACAUUCACAUGCCACAUCUCUUUUCUGCUCCAUCAUUUCCUGCUCACACCUUCCAUCUCCAGGACUACUUCCGUUUCCUCUUUGUUUUUUGGGAUGCCAGGUCUCAAGUGUCCUGGGACAGACUUGCUCCAGUGAGGGCCAUUAGGGAGUCCACAGUCACUCCCUUCCCUGCUCUGCAGGGUCCUGGGGGGAGUGGACACAGUCCUUUGUCCAAAAGCCUGUCUCUUAUUGGCCAUGGGAACCCAUGUAGGGAUACUUUUGUAGGGCUUCUCACAAAACAAGAACAGCUCUAAAAAGGGCCACCAAAACCAAACUCUGAGGAGGAAGGCAGAGAAAGCUUCAGUAGAAAACAAGGGCUGUGACUUUAGGGCGUGAAGCCAGUGUUGACAGGCCUGCCUGAUGGCUGUCUGUGCCUAGGACCACCCUGGUACUUAUUACCAUGAGAAGGAGCUGAGAAAGCAUGAGACUGUCAGGAAACACCAUAGGAGAAAGCGGAUGUGAGGAUGUGAGAAGUAAGCCGGACAGGGCACUGGGCCAUCCUCCUGUCCCCAUGGCUCCACAACAGCCCCGCCUUUGCAACGCCACAAAGACUAAGAAAAGGACUGAGAUUCACAUGUCAGCUCCUGGAGCACGCUCAAGGCUGCAGUCAGUACGAUGCCAAGUAGGUGGCCCAGCCUAAUAAGGGCAACACAGGCCCCCAAAGUAGGGAAACAGAACAGGGAGCUUCCACUCUCCACCCCCUGCUGUCUCCUGGGGAUUGUGGAGCACAGGGCCCUCCAGGGGUGCUGCCCCUCCUCCACUCUCACAGUGUAGCAAGACAAUGCCCAAGGGAGAAGACGGUCAGCAGAAAGCACACAUGAAAUCAGCCACUCAGGCUGUGAUCCAUUACUUUUGCUUUGCAAGAACAGAACUUAGCCAGUUUUUCUUCCCAUGAAGGAACGAACAAAAGCCAAAAGAAUCUGCAGAUGCUGUACCUGCUGAAUCUGAUUCAGGGCUGUGCUACAUUACCAGGCCCUGAGCCCCGUAUUUCCAAGCACACUGAUUACUUUUAUAGGAACUCUUUCUUUUCGAAAUUAUGAUUAUCUGUCACCUGACUUCAGCUAAAUUGUGACAUCAGCAUUUUUCAGGGACGAGGUGGACGAGGUGGUGCAAUGAGGACCCACUCUGUGCCUGUCACAGGGGCAUUUAUGAAAGCAGUCUGGGUGGCAGGGAGGACAGCGGAUGAGGCCUACGUCCUAGUACCCUCAUAGUCAGCUGUGAGGCCUGGAGGUGAGGUAAGCAGUGGCGGAGAAAGUCGCCAAUGGAAAGCUAUGACUGGUCAAGAACAGUGGCCCAAGAUUUUGGCACUCACAGGUGGAGAUGAUCAGAGGUCUGGGCUGGGGUCCUCAAGGUUACCCAGAGGCAUUGGUCUGCAAGCAGAUGAGAGUGCAGUGAUAGUCCCACUUGAUGUGACCUGUUACUACCCAAGGCAGUCAGGGACAGAUCUGGGAGCUCAAGUCACCAUCAGGAAUGUUCUUGCAGGAAAGCAACCAGUGUAGUCUGUUCCUGUACUCUCCCAUGCUGGCUCGGUGUCUGCUCAUAAAGCUUAUCCUCCCUCCAAGGUUAAUCAGUCACUCAAGGUCAGUGGGACAGAAUGCAUUCCACUGCCACCUCUAGCCCUGCUCAUGGUCAGUCUGGCUUCUCUUCCAUUACCUCCAAAUGGAAGAGCCAUCUCACAGACCACUGUCACACAGACAUCCAGCUGGCCCUGUGCAUCCCCAGGUGGGUUCCACAUCCAUGGAUCCAACCAACCUGGGACCCAGUUAUUUACGAGCACUGACUGAAAACUGUGUUAGGUAUUCUAAGGAACCCGGAGAUAACUUCAGAUAUCUGCAAGGGACUUAAGCGUCCCCAUAUCUGGGAGAUGAAAUGUGUUAGGAGUCCUGGGACCAAUUACUCACUGGGCCCAAGGAUUGAACAUUUGCAACUGUUUUUGGUUAACCAGCUGCGCUUGGGGUAAAAACUGUCAUCCUAGGACUGAGAUGUGCGUGAGUACCUGAACCUACAUCCAGAGUCACUGGAAGUUCAGAAGACAGAGCGACUCUCAGUCUGCAUUAUUCGAGAGCUUCCUGUCUUUUCUUGUGCCCUUUCCUACACCUCCUGGUACAGAAAAGUCAAAAGCACCACCACAAAAGUAAUAUGAAAAGAAGACACAAAAACCAGUGAAUGUGUCAGCGGCUCACAACAUGAAGACUUGUAAUUAAAAGUGACAAUUAUGUUCAGUAGUUUUCUGCGAAUUUAAAUGACCCUAUACUGCUCUGAGCUACAAGAGUGGCUAUAAGGUGGGGUUUUUUUUUUCCCUUUGAAGACCAGCAUGUGCUCAAUUAGCAUUUUAGAAUCACUGUUAGGAUUAUAUUUAAUCACUGACUUCCACGAGAACAUGGCAGAUAGAUAACAGCAGCUACGGAGGUUCUCUGAAAUAGCCAGCUUAGAUUCCAGGAAUGGUGUGGUGUGGGUAGUCCUAAGAAAGGGAAGAUAUCCCUGCUGACCCAGGAACGAAUAAUUAGAAAUGCAAUCCCGCUGCUAUGUCGGAAACAGCUAAAGUCUCAGUGCUGAAGCUGGAACCCGCGCCUCUGGAAACCACGGCUUGGAUUUCCUGCUGCCGCUGCUGCAUCUGAAUCGGCACAGCAGGGAUAGAGACUCGAAAGCUCUAAGAGCAGGAAUCCGCGAACCGAGUUGAGAGUAGAGCUGGUGGAGAGCCUUGCAUCGACCUGUGGUGAGUGAGAGGAACGGGGACCCUUCCAUAGACUAGGAGGCUACAGCAGAGGACAUUGUGGGACUGGGCAGACUAGCCGGAACAGGACAGUGCAGUGACUUCAGUCACAUAUUCCCCUCUCAAGCAGGAUUGGUGGGGAGAGCUUGACCUGGGUGACACCGCGAACUAUGACUCAUUAGGCUAGCCCAAACCAGGUCCCUGUGCCUGGCAGUGCACCCUAAUGCAGUGAGGCCUUCAGCAGGUUGACUGACCUGGAGGGGCAGGCCCAGCAUACGCUGCCCAGGUCUGUGUCUCCCUAGUAUACUGCAGUGGGUGGGAACACCUAGCUGGUGUGAUUCAAACAAACUGUAACUGACAAAGGAAGAAACUGGGCCUCCUAUUUAUGCUUGUAUGGAAGGAACAAAAAGAAUGGGAAGAGGGAGCCACAAGAAAGGGUUCUCGGUCCCCAAUCCUGAGAACACUGAUCCAGGAAAGGUAAAUGCAAAGGAGAAUGAAGACAGAAAACAUGCAAUAUCAGGCACGGCACCAAUAGACAUAAAGCAAUAUCUCCGGGACCUCAUAGAUGAGUUCAAAAGUGAAGUAUUUAACCAAGUAAAGCAAGGUAUAAGUAGAAUAGUUAAAGAAAUGCUAAGCACCUCCCAAGAAAAAACAGAUGGUGGAAUGGAAGAACAGAAAAAAAAGGGGAGAAUUGUUUAAUGGAGAAAAUAGAGAAAAUGGAGAAUACAUGAAACAGGUUCAAAGAGAUUACCAGGAAACUAAAAACUCUAUUGAAAGAUGGCAUAACAGCUUGAAAGAAACUAAGGAUAGAUUAUCUGAAUGGAGGACAGAUUUGUAAUGUGAGAGCAUGAAAGGAAAAACUUCUUAAAAAUAACAAGGAAACAAGCAGUAACAAUACAAAGGCUAGAAGAUGAUAAGAGGAUCUAUAACUAAGAAUUAAGAAUGUAAAGGAAGAAGCAGGGAUACAAACAAAUGAACGAUAAAGGCUAUUCACAGAAAUAAUCAAGGAGAACUUCCCUAAUAUGGGAAAAGGUAAAGAUACUCAGAUGUAUGAGGCAUACAGGACCCCAGCCACCUACAACCCAAACAGAACUACACCCAGGCAUAUAAUAAUCAAAAUUCCAGAAAUCCAAUAUAAGAACAGAAUAUUAAAAGCUGUCAGAGAAAGACAGAUCACUUACAAGGGAACACCCAUCAGAAUUACAGCAGACUUCUCAGCACAAACCAUCAAAUAACAAAGAGCAUGGGGCAAAAUAAUUCAAGCUUUGAAAGGCAAUGACCUCCAGCCAAGAUUGAUAUAUCUUGCACAACUGUCCCUAGAAAUUAAUGGAGAAACAAGGUUCUUCCAGGAUAAAAAGUAGGGGAAUUUGCAACCACCAAUUCAACUCUACAGAGAAUACUGCAGGACAUUCUAAAAGAGAAACAUACCAAGAUUCCAGAAACAGUGGCAGAGAGGCCACAAUGAAUGGAGCAAAAAGCGAAAUGAAGACAAACUGACAACUAAUAACGAAAAAGAGCUCAACAGAAAUGAGGCAGAGAAGAUUGGAGGAUAUGAACAGCUAUUUUGGAGAAAACAAGACAUCAUAAUAGCUAGUGCUGAUUUAAUAUCAUCUUGUUUUGAAGUCCCAUUAAGCUUUUGUUCUACUGUCUCCAUCGGUCUUAACAUAUUAUAUCUUAAUGGAUUUUAUUAUAUGUGAUAAUAUAAACAAAAAUUUUUAUAGACAAGGAGAUAAUACAGAAACCAUUGUUUAUUUUCUGUUAGUUGAUUCUAAAUAACCUGUAACACUGUCAUUCUCUUGAAUGGUUUUACAUUGUCUUGAUAUGUUUGAUGCUACAGUAUAUGAAGUUAUACUCAAAGAUUUCAAGGAAAGAGACACUAUGGUAACUACUUUUAUGUCGGGAUAUCUUGUGGUGAAACACUAUUUUGCUUAAAUGGUUAUGUUCUGACCUGUGCUGUUUUGUUGUUAAGUCCUCUUUUAUCUCAAUCUUUUUAUUAUUUAUUUAUUUAUUUAUUUAUUUAUUUUUAUUUAAGGGAAAAAAUAAAAAAUAGCACGAUAUAUUAUAGUAACCCACUUUGAUUUCCUAUUAACUUGAUUUGAAACCCUGUAUUGCUCUCACCAUCUUGUUUUGACUGAUUUUACUCUAUUCUGUUUUGCUUGAUAGUACCAAGUUUGAGUAUAGGCAACAACUGAUAAGACAAUAAGACUCACUAUGAUGCCCAUUCUGGUUUGACUAUUGUCUUCUUUUAAAGUCCUGUAAUGUCUCUAAUGUUUUGGUUUUAUUGGUUUUGUUCUGUACCGUUUUCUUCAAUUUUAUUAUAACUGAUGAUAUAGGCAAUCUUUUUAAGAUAGCAAGAGGCAUUAUGGCAACCAUUGUUGAUCACCUUGGAUUCUGUUUUUACAUCAUGUACUACAUCCAUCCUUUUGAUUUGACUGACUCUGUUUUGUUAUGUCACAUUUGGUUUUAUUCUCUUCAAAAAAAGGUAAUAAGAACUGUGGGAGUAAUAAAAUGCAAAAUGUGUAAUUGUCAUUGUAAAAAAGAGAGGAAAAGAAAGUGCUCUAAAGGAUGUAACUGCACAUAUAUUUAAGUGUAUAAGAUAAGAUAACCAUAUUACUGAGUUUUUGUGGAUCAUUGAACAGAACUGUUUGCAGUCUUACUGUUUGAAGGUCCAUUUUAUAUGCUUUAAUUUUGUAACUUGAACAACUAUUUCUAAGAUGAUAAUAUGUAAUCUAUUAACUAGUGAUUUCCUACUGUUUUUGUGAAAUUCUGUAUAACUUGUACCUUUUUGUUUUUUUCUCCUUAAAUAAAAUUUUUAAAAAAGAUUAUAUUUAAUCAAAAGUCAAAAUCCUAAUUAUAAUUCUGAAGGACUUUUGAUAGAGUCCAUUAGUAAUUUAACAUUCUAAUUAGUUCUGGAAGAUGGCAUUAGUCACCUUAUGGAAAACAGAUUAUCUCUUUAAUAUUGGACACCAGUGAGAACUACUAUAUUUUUGUGGUCUUUGUCAAGUAAAGUUUAGAUGUGAUAGAGAAACUGGUUAUUUCAUUAGCACACAGGUCUCACCACGGAACUUCUGAUGCCCCUGCAGUGUUGGGGUUUAGUUUGUGUGGCUUUCUUCAAAAAUAGACUUCCUGACCACUCUCUAAGUUCUGGAGUCACUCUGGUAUUAUUGCCAUUGUUUGUGACCUUUUUCAAGAAGAUUUAAGAUUGAUCUGCCUUCUAGAAUCCUGAGCUGUGUCAUGCUCUUUACUCCUCUGAUGUUGGGCUUAUGUCUGCAUGUUGAGUGUGUGGCAUGGGGUUGGAAAGUCAUAAACACACAGCAUUUUCCACCUGAUAAGGCAGGAAAGAUAUGCCAAGAGGAAAUGUGACACUGAGAGGUAGAACUUGGGAAUUUCUUCUUCAGAAGUUCACUCACAGAAAAGCCAAGUCAACACCACCCAUGUGGAAAAGCUGACCACCCGAGUACUGUCUUCUCUGAUGUGUCAGAAAAUGAAACUAAAAACUGGGGGCCAGGGGAUUUAGCUCAGUAGCAUAAGUUCCUGCCUGGUAAGUAUGCGGUAGUAAAUUCAAUUCUUGGUAUAAAAAAGAAAAAGAAAGAGAAAGAAAAGAAAGGAAGGAAGGAAGGAAGGGAGGGAGGAAGAAAGAAAGAAAGAAAGAAAGAAAGAAAGAAAGAAAGAAAGAAAGAAAGAAAGAAAAGAAAAGAAAAGAAAGAAAGAAAAGGAAAAGUGAUUGACAGGUAACUCGCAUAAAAAUUUGGUGAUGUCUACAAGUUUCUCUUCCUUGAGAGGAGGGAGAGAACUAUUUUAUAACUAUAAAGACUUCUUUGCCCUCAAAUACAGCAAUCUGGUAUCAAGUAUAUUUCACACAUGCUACAGAUUACACCUAAUUUUUGUAAGAAUAUAAAAAGAUAAAAAUUCUGCUGUGAGAAAUGCAUAGAACUGAGGGAGAGAGAUGGAUUCCCCAUACACCAGCAGACAUCAGGCAAUGACUGGGACAUUCUAGUUGGCACAGCUGAGAGGGUACAGUGCUGACAUCUACUGUGCACAGACCGAGGAUACUGAUAAUUAUACCACAAUGCCUGCUUCAGUCAGCUGUGAUGAGGAAGGCUGGACCCAAAAGUUGAAAUGCCCACAGUACUGAAGCUGGGAAACCCUGGUUCAUACUUGAAGUCCACCGAAUGCUCUGGGGAUCACUAUCCGUGUCUCCAAUUAGAAAUUCAGUCUCUCACUUCCCAGAUAAAAGAGUGUCCCAAGGAGAAACCUAAGUAUUCUGGUGCUCAAGCUUGACCAAUUGCUAUUUAUUGCUGGACUGUUACAUACCCGCAUAUUCUACCACCGAUGAUUAAAGUUAAAACUAAAAAAGGCCCUGUAUCACAUGCAUUGUCAGAGCUACAGGAACAACCCUAAUGUCAUGUGUAUGGUGAAGAGCAACCUUUGCUUUCUUAGAAAUGCCCACCUACAUUCACGUCACCCUUUACAAAUUGUUUGCGUAACCAAAGCUGUCAUGAAGGUCUGUGGAUCCUACUGGGCAUGUCUGUUCACAAUGACCACACUUCCGGCUCUCCCCAACAUCCUCAAGAGGAUAGUGCUGCAUCAUAGUGUGCAAAUUCAUGGCCUGGAGAGCCAGCCUGGACACCAGACAGUGCUGGACCUACAGGCCUAGACAGCUUCUUAUCUACUGGGAAAGUCAAUGCUCUAGAGAGAAGAGCUUCUGCUACCUCUGCGAUUCCCUGCAACUUUGACUUCUGAACAGGAUGUGUUCUUCUCUUCAGCAAAUUUCUCAACUAUUGCAUUGUUCUGAAAUUUCACAUGGAACUAUUUUUGUUGUCAGAAACUGUCCUAGCACUUUGCAUGGUAGCAGCAUCCCUAGCAUCUGCUCCCUGGACCCUAAUAAGACCUCCAUUCCUAUUUGUAAUAAUCCAAACUGUCUCCAAACAUUACCAAAGGCCGGAGUAGGGAGUGCUGGUGUUGCUGGUAAACAAAACAAAACACCCUGUAUUUAAGAACCACUAAGCUCUUCCAACGUAGCUUGGGCAAGGAAAGCUUAUCAAGUUCUCAGAAGUGACUUGAUUUUAAUCAAAUGUGCACAGGAGGGGCACACAAAGCUUCUUUAUGGAUAGAAGUUGGAGAGAUUCUCACAUCCCCUCAGCAAGCCAAAGGUGGAAAGCCUGGUGUACCGAGAACGUGAUAUGUGCAACGUGAAAUCAAUUCCCACGCGUAACAACAGGGAUCCCAAAUACAAUGAAUAGCAUUUCCUCCCUGAUGUCAUGUCCCUGACCCCAUGGGGUUCCUGGACAUGUCAUGUCUGAUUCAAAGAUGACCAAGGAGAUGGAAAUGACUUCAUUCAUGAUUUCUGCCAACAAUCAGGCAGGAAUAGGUGAGGUGGCUAGGUGAGCCUGUUUUGUUUUGCUUUGGGCUCAAGAAAAACAAACACAAACAGCACACAGUUUGGGAAAAAAUCUUUCAUUUUCAAAGGAAUCUGGACUCUUGGUAGCAGUGGAUUAAAAUGAGCAAUUGGAUAUGGUCUGCUAUCUAGUGGAACUUAAUUUCAAGACUUGCAACAAAAGUCAGGGUUUCUCUGAGAAAAGGGAAGUAAAAACUCCUCACUAUUCCCAAAAAGGGUUUUAUUUCAGUUGCGGAGUGAGGGGGGAUACAGGGAAGAGAGGAGAAUACCAGGAAGGACCCAAAAUGGUUAACAGUAGGAAAGACCACAUCUGCUGAGCUAUGACUGUAAUACCUACUGCUUUUAUUAUCAUUUUAUUAGGGUACAAAUCUGGAUUAGAAACAGCUCCUUAAAAUGUGUCAUCCUUUUUAAAGUCUUGAGAUAAAUCCAGAUCUACUCUUUAGUCUCUUGUGAAAGAAAACACAUACUCCAGACAUAUUUGUACUUUUGAAAGAAAUGCAAAACAAUAUAUUUUGAACAUUUUCAGACUUUCAAAAAUAUCUUUUAUUCUCCUAUCUAGAAUCCCAAACUACCAACUUUUUACAAGUGUUCCUCCUCCUCUAUAUACCAUUAUUUUGUCUUUUCCCUGAAGAGUUUGAGAACAAAUCAAAGACAGAAUGCCCCAUCAUCACUAAAUCUCUAUUUUCCCACAUUGAGGGGACCAUUCUACAUAAAUAUCAUCUAAUUCUCUAAAUCAGGACAUCACUAUUGACACAACACCACAGAACAAUUCCGUGUCUCUUCAUUUUUGCAUUUCUAGAUCAGUCUAGUGAGAGUUCAACCUGUGAGGAGCUGGGUCCAUUCACUCAUUCCAACACUGUCUGCAGCCCCCGUGCAGAAGGCACCAUGUUUGUCAGCCUCUUCAUCCAAGAGGAAAUAAAGGUUGAAGGAUCAAACAGUCACUUGAGAAACCAGUUUUUCACUUGAUACACGGUGUUUCUGUCUACAUUUCUUGUCCAGUCUUUGCUAAGCAACAGGAAACAAAGCUAUUCUGGUUUGUCCUGUUAGAUUCUCUCCUCUUCAUUUUAGCAGGUUCCCCAAACUGUCUACCUGCCACAUGGAUCAAGGAACACAGUGAUGGAUGGAAAAAUGAGGGGCAAAGAGAAGAGAGAAUGAAACACAGAACCAAAAGCCACCGACUGUUCCACCUGUGGAGAUGACAAGCUACCCAGUGACACAGUGCAAAGGCAGAGUCUGAUUCCUGUUACUAGUUUUAGCUCAGGAAAUGGUUUGAAGACACUGCAAGACAUUUAGUAUGUUUCAUCUCAACCAGAGAGGAGUUAGUGUGGGGUCAUUUUCAAUAAAUUUUAAUGUCAUUUUUCAUAA